GAUGAACGCUGGCGGCGUGCCUAAUACAUGCAAGUCGAGCGAACGGACGGGAAGCUUGCUUCUCUGAUGUUAGCGGCGGACGGGUGAGUAACACGUGGAUAACCUACCUAUAAGACUGGGAUAACUUCGGGAAACCGGAGCUAAUACCGGAUGAUAUUUUGAACCGCAUGGUUCAAAAGUGAAAGACGGUCUUGCUGUCACUUAUAGAUGGAUCCGCGCUGCAUUAGCUAGUUGGUAAGGUAACGGCUUACCAAGGCAACGAUGCAUAGCCGACCUGAGAGGGUGAUCGGCCACACUGGAACUGAGACACGGUCCAGACUCCUACGGGAGGCAGCAGUAGGGAAUCUUCCGCAAUGGGCGAAAGCCUGACGGAGCAACGCCGCGUGAGUGAUGAAGGUCUUCGGAUCGUAAAACUCUGUUAUUAGGGAAGAACAUAUGUGUAAGUAACUGUGCACAUCUUGACGGUACCUAAUCAGAAAGCCACGGCUAACUACGUG
Molecule: ribosomal RNA, 497 nt
Filed under: uncultured bacterium
Lineage: Bacteria
Description: partial 16S ribosomal RNA
Rfam family: Bacterial small subunit ribosomal RNA
Source: RNAcentral